RNAcentral lists this ribosomal RNA (232 nucleotides) under uncultured bacterium. RNAcentral describes it as "partial 16S ribosomal RNA". It matches the Rfam family "Bacterial small subunit ribosomal RNA", at positions 99 to 334 of the family's 1533-position model. The record is from RNAcentral.
CGAACGGGUGAGUAAUACAUCGGAACGUGCCCAGUAGUGGGGGAUAACCCGGCGAAAGCCGGACUAAUACCGCAUACGACCUACGGGUGAAAGCAGGGGAUCGCAAGACCUUGCGCUAUCGGAGCGGCCGAUGUCAGAUUAGCUUGUUGGCGGGGUAAAAGCCCACCAAGGCGACGAUCUGUAGCUGGUCUGAGAGGACGACCAGCCACACUGGGACUGAGACACGGCCCAG